AUGAUGUGUUCUGCAUACAAGUUAAAUAGGAAAACCAUUACUUGGCCCAGAAGUAUAGCCCGCCGGCUUCCAAAGUGUGCCAAAUCCAUUUUCAGUACUGGUUCCAAGAAGUUUCUCAACAACACUGAAGGACCGUGCACAGACAGCACCAGAAAACGAUCUGGUGGAGAGGCGCUACUACGUGUGCCGAGUACAACGGGCUUCUGCUCCAGCAUCAACACAUUCAUGCAGCCAUCCAUCUGACAGGACUAUGGAUCUCAUUCACCCAGCUGCCAGCUCAGGAGGAGUGAGCUGGCUUUUGAAGCACUUCUCUGAGCUCCAGUUAAUUUGGUGGAGACGUUUCCCCCCAAGAUGAAUCAGAUAACUUUAGAGGUCAAGAAAACAUAUCAACUUAAAAAGACACCCUUCUCAUAAUAUCAGGACAGUGAAGAGGAGUGGGAGGCAAGAAAAACCUGUGCUUUUGCCAAGUGAGAGUCAUCGUAAACACAAGAUCCAGCCAAUGUAAAACACUUUGAAGUCCCAGAUAUUUCCAUCAUAGACAUUUAACAUAUUGUUACCCUCAACUCCCCUUUUCUAAACAGGGAGACGUUCCAGGGUUCAGUGCUUAGCCAAGCUUGGUUUCUUUGGCAGGAAGACCGCUAGAGGCAUAUUGCCAUUUUAAAAAGUUUCAGUUUAUUUACUAAUAUUUCAGGUGAGGCGCAGCUGGAGCAACUGCUCAAAACACUGAAGUGGACAAAAUCCACCUCAGCUGCCAGAGCGUCAUUGUUAACAUUGUGUUUAUAUGUACCUUCUAACUAAUAAUAUUACAAUACUGCUCAAUAUCUACUACAAAUUAUCUAUCCUAUCUAUCUAUCUAUCUAUCUAUCUAUCUAUCUAUCUACAUGGUUUGAUGGACUUGGGCCAUACUUGGUACUCAUAUCCUUCAUGAUCCAACAAAAAAUAUUGAUGGGAUUUGGGCAGGGGUUGAUAGAGGAUAGUGGGGGUUGUAGUCCAACUACUCCCGCAGAAUCAUGUCAAUCCCAACAAUGAUGGAUCUGGACCAAGCCUGGCACAUGUACUCAUUAUGACCAACUUAAAACACUGCUGAAGUAUGAGGGGAGAUUGACAGGGGAUGCUAGGAGUUGUAGUCCAUACACAUCCAGAGAACAGUGUCAAUACCACUGAUGAUGGAUCUGUAUCUAACCUGGUGCACAUAUCCUUCAUUAUCCAACUUAUAAUACUGGCAUGAUAGAGGAUAAUGGGAGUUGAAAUCCAGUCACAUUUGGAGAGCAACAUGAGUCCUGCCCACUAUCAAAGGUGUUC
RNAcentral lists this long non-coding RNA (1302 nucleotides) under Anolis carolinensis (green anole). RNAcentral describes it as "lncRNA (ENSACAG00000042650.1)". Lineage: Eukaryota; Metazoa; Chordata; Lepidosauria; Squamata; Anolidae. The record is from RNAcentral.